AAGCGAGUGGCGAACGGGUGAGUAACACGUGGAUAACCUGCCUCAAGGCUGGGGAUAACAUUUGGAAACAGAUGCUAAUACCGAAUAAAACUUAGUAUCGCAUGAUAUAAAGUUAAAAGGCGCUACGGCGUCACCUAGAGAUGGAUCCGCGGUGCAUUAGUUAGUUGGUGGGGUAAAGGCUUACCAAGACAAUGAUGCAUAGCCGAGUUGAGAGACUGAUCGGCCACAUUGGGACUGAGACACGGCCCAAACUCCUACGGGAGGCUGCAGUAGGGAAUCUUCCACAAUGGGCGCAAGCCUGAUGGAGCAACGCCGCGUGUGUGAUGAAGGCUUUCGGGUCGUAAAGCACUGUUGUAUGGGAAGAAAUGCUAAAAUAGGGAAUGAUUUUAGUUUGACGGUACCAUACCAGAAAGGGACGGCUAAAUACGUGCCAGCAGCCGCGGUAAUACGUAUGUCCCGAGCGUUAUCCGGAUUUAUUGGGCGUAAAGCGAGCGCAGACGGUUGAUUAAGUCUGAUGUGAAAGCCCGGAGCUCAACUCCGGAAUGGCAUUGGAAACUGGUUAACUUGAGUGUUGUAGAGGUAAGUGGAACUCCAUGUGUAGCGGUGGAAUGCGUAGAUAUAUGGAAGAACACCAGUGGCGAAGGCGGCUUACUGGACAACAACUGACGUUGAGGCUCGAAAGUGUGGGUAGCAAACAGGAUUAGAUACCCUGGUAGUCCACACCGUAAACGAUGAAUACUAGGUGUUAGGAGGUUUCCGCCUCUUAGUGCCGAAGCUAACGCAUUAAGUAUUCCGCCUGGGGAGUACGACCGCAAGGUUGAAACUCAAAGGAAUUGACGGGGACCCGCACAAGCGGUGGAGCAUGUGGUUUAAUUCGAAGCAACGCGAAGAACCUUACCAGGUCUUGACAUCCUUUGAAGCUUUUAGAGAUAGAAGUGUUCUCUUCGGAGACAAAGUGACAGGUGGUGCAUGGUCGUCGUCAGCUCGUGUCGUGAGAUGUUGGGUUAAGUCCCGCAACGAGCGCAACCCUUAUUGUUAGUUGCCAGCAUUCAGUUGGGCACUCUAGCGAGACUGCCGGUGACAAACCGGAGGAAGGCGGGGACGACGUCAGAUCAUCAUGCCCCUUAUGACCUGGGCUACACACGUGCUACAAUGGCGUAUACAACGAGUUGCCAACCUGCGAAGGUGAGCUAAUCUCUUAAAGUACGUCUCAGUUCGGACUGCAGUCUGCAACUCGACUGCACGAAGUCGGAAUCGCUAGUAAUCGCGGAUCAGCACGCCGCGGUGAAUACGUUCCCGGGUCUUGUACACACCGCCCGUCACACCAUGGGAGUUUGUAA
This 1340-nucleotide ribosomal RNA is filed under the name Leuconostoc citreum. RNAcentral's name for it is "bacterial SSU rRNA". It matches the Rfam family "Bacterial small subunit ribosomal RNA", at positions 89 to 1417 of the family's 1533-position model. The record is from RNAcentral. Lineage: Bacteria; Bacillati; Bacillota; Bacilli; Lactobacillales; Lactobacillaceae.